GUAUUAAAAUCUAAAUAUUCAAAGAGUUGAUUAAUUCUGUGAAAUUUAGGGUGCGUUUGAUUCGCGCUAUCUUUUUAAAAUUUCUAGUAAUCUAAUAGGAAUAAAAAAAUAUGACGGUAUUUGGCUAAACGUACUAAAUAAUCUAGUUGGUAAUAUUAGAUUUAUUUGAAAAUGAGAUUCAUCCCAAAGUACUAAUCUCAUUCCUUUGAGAGAGGAUGGAUAUCCUCAUAUUAAUUGAUUAGGGUAAUUAUAAUAUAUAUAAUCUCUUUCUUAAUUUCUCCAUACCCGCCUGCUAGUAGGUAUUAUUUUUUUUUACACUCUAACCUACUAUUUCUCUCUAAAUUUAUCUUUUUCUUUCUAAACUAAGCUCUCUUUCUCCCUCUUUUCUAAAAUCUCAACUCUCCUGCUCCCUCUAAUAUCGACUCUAUUUCUCUUCCUAUUUAUUUAAGUAUGUACUUUCUCUCUAACCUAUGUUCUCUUUUCCUUUUUUCUAAAAAGAUGUUGAAAUUUUUUAUAGUAUUAUCUAAAAUUAAUUAAAGAAAUAAAUUAAUUAAUUAUAUAUUUUUUGUAAUUUUAAAUAAUAUAACUAAUUAAUAUGACCGUACGAACCAAAUACGGAAAUACCACAUUCUUAGUAAUAAGAUGAAUAAAAAUAAAAUUCUCGGACAUCUUUUUAUUCUUAAUAAUUUUUCAUAGUGCGAACCAAAUGCGCCCUUAGAGUAAGAUGUUAACCUUAUAAUAAA
This 743-nucleotide long non-coding RNA is filed under the name Ananas comosus (pineapple). RNAcentral describes it as "long non-coding RNA (ACOM_LNC030905)". Lineage: Eukaryota; Viridiplantae; Streptophyta; Magnoliopsida; Poales; Bromeliaceae. The record is from RNAcentral.